This is a long non-coding RNA of Oncorhynchus tshawytscha (Chinook salmon), 668 nucleotides long. The record is from Ensembl. Lineage: Eukaryota; Metazoa; Chordata; Actinopteri; Salmoniformes; Salmonidae.
GUCUGGUCUGGCUGCGGUCUCUGUGGUGUGUCUGGUCUGACUGUGGUCUCUGUGAUGUCUCUGUGGUGUCUGUGGUCUCUCCCAUGUCUCUGGUGUGUGUCUGUUCAUGGUCCAGCUGAUAUCCCAUGUGCUGACCCCAGGGUGCAGUAUCGUGGCAUUGGUUGCCGUGUGUUUCCAUGUGAACAGCCUGCCUGGCUGGCUUGUCUGUGAAGGGAUGACCAGGACAGAGAGGGAGGAUCUUCUUAACAGCAGUGACCGCUGCCCAGAUCCACAGCCCUAUUUAACCUGCUUGGCUGUCUCCUAUAGCAUCACACACACUGGAUACAACAGGAGGAUACUACAGGAGGAUACUACAGGAGGAUACUACAGGAGGAUCCUACAGGAAGAUACUACAGGAAGAUACAACAGGAGGAUACAACAGGAGGAUACAACAGGAGGAUACAACAGGAGGAUCCUACAGGAGGAUCCUACAGGAAGAUACAACAGGAGGAUCCUACAGGAGGAUCCUACAGGAAGAUACUACAGGAGGAUACUACAGGAGGAUACUACAGGAGGAUCCGACAGGAAGAUACUACAGGAGGAUCCUACAGGAGGAUACUACAGGAGGAUCCUACAGGAAGAUCCUACAGGAAGACACUACAGGAGGGACACUGAGCCUGACACUCUCU